AUACGGAGGAUGCGAGCGUUAUCCGGAUUUAUUGGGUUUAAAGGGUGCGUAGGCUGUGCGUUAAGUCAGGGGUGAAAUGCCGUUGCUCAACAUCGGAGCUGCCCUUGAUACUGGCGUGCUGGAGUACGGAUGCCGUUGGAGGAAUGAGUAGUGUAGCGGUGAAAUGCAUAGAUAUUACUCAGAACACCGAUUGCGAAGGCAUCUGACGAACCCGUAACUGACGCUGAGGCACGAAAGGGUGGGGAUAGAACAGGAUUAGAUCCCCUGGUAUUCCACGCCGUAAACGAUGAUGACUAACCGCCGGCGACAGACCGAUCGGUGGCCAAGCGAAAGCGAUAAGUCAUCCACCUGGGGAGUACGACCGCAAGGUUGAAACUCAAAUGAAUUGGCGGGG
This 394-nucleotide ribosomal RNA is filed under the name uncultured bacterium. Its description in RNAcentral is "partial 16S ribosomal RNA". It matches the Rfam family "Bacterial small subunit ribosomal RNA", at positions 523 to 918 of the family's 1533-position model. The record is from RNAcentral.